AAAUGUCCCAGAAGCUGAUCGAUGUCUUUGUGCUCCUGCUGUGUUAAUUUGGGCUGUGCUUCAGCCUUCUCUCCCUGGGCUCUUGCAGUUGCAGUAUCUCUUGGGUGCUGUGCAGAACGGAAUCAGGCAGCCAAGCCUCAGGUUUCCCUUCUCCCUGACCCUCUACGCUGCUGGUGUGGCACAGCAGAUCCUGAAGCAGAGGAGCACGUGUACAUAAAGGUAAAGAGAUUCUUUCUGUCACACCAGUAUUUGGACCUGAGGAAGGUACCAGUUUUUUUCCAGCUUUUCUACAGUUUUGAUUCUGAGUACAAAACAGCAUGAGUGGAUACUCAGAUUUCUUGGGGAAGGGCUGCGUGACAAACAUUGCUGUGAGCUUUGUGACUAGCAGAGGAUUUUCCAGGUCAUUCUUUCAUUUUUCAACAGUCCUUUGUGUGACGAGGGCUCCCAGGUAAGAAUUGAAAAAGAAAGUCCCAAAAAACCCCAAACCACAGAAGCUUGCAUGACUUUGAGAUCUCAAGUACCAAACAGAAAGGAACAGCUGACUCUGCCUUGGUCCUCUUGAAAAUCU
RNAcentral lists this long non-coding RNA (568 nucleotides) under Lonchura striata (white-rumped munia). Its description in RNAcentral is "domestica (Bengalese finch) lncRNA (ENSLSDG00000013444.1)". Lineage: Eukaryota; Metazoa; Chordata; Aves; Passeriformes; Estrildidae. The record is from RNAcentral.